CAAGUCGAACGGGGUGCGGGGGCAACUCUGCAUUCAGUGGCGAACGGGUGAGUAAUGCAUCGGAACGUGUCCCGUAGUGGGGGAUAACGCCGCGAAAGCGGCGCUAAUACCGCAUACGCUCUGUGGAGGAAAGCAGGGACCUGAGAGGGCCUUGUGCUAGGGGGGCGGCCGAUGUCCGAUUAGCUAGUUGGUGGGGUAAUGGCUUACCAAGGCGACGAUCGGUAGCUGGUCUGAGAGGAUGAUCAGCCACACUGGGACUGAGACACGGCCCAGACUCCUACGGGAGGCAGCAGUGGGGAAUUUUGGACAAUGGGGGCAACCCUGAUCCAGCCAUGCCGCGUGCGGGAAGAAGGCCUUCGGGUUGUAAACCGCUUUUAGCCGGGAAGAAAAGGCGCGGGUUAAUACCCUUCGUUUUUGACGGUACCGGCGGAAUAAGCACCGGCUAACUACGUGCCAGCAGCCGCGGUAAUACGUAGGGUGCGAGCGUUAAUCGGAAUUACUGGGCGUAAAGCGUGCGCAGGCGGUUCGUUGUGUCGGCGGUGAAAGCCCCGGGCUUAACCUGGGAACGGCCGUUGAAACUGGCGAACUGGAGUGUGGCAGAGGGGGGUGGAAUUCCGCGUGUAGCAAUGAAAUGCGUAAAGAUGCGGAGGAACACCGAUGGCGAAAGCAGCCCCCUGGGCUAACACUGACGCUCAGGCACGAAAGCGUGGGGAGCAAACAGGAUUAGAUACCCUGUUAGUCCACGCCC
RNAcentral lists this ribosomal RNA (748 nucleotides) under uncultured beta proteobacterium. RNAcentral's name for it is "bacterial SSU rRNA". It matches the Rfam family "Bacterial small subunit ribosomal RNA", at positions 58 to 802 of the family's 1533-position model. The record is from RNAcentral. Lineage: Bacteria; Pseudomonadati; Pseudomonadota; Betaproteobacteria.